This 731-nucleotide ribosomal RNA is filed under the name uncultured bacterium. RNAcentral's name for it is "bacterial SSU rRNA". It matches the Rfam family "Bacterial small subunit ribosomal RNA", at positions 771 to 1501 of the family's 1533-position model. The record is from RNAcentral.
AACAGGAUUAGAUACCCUGGUAGUCCACGCUGUAAACGAUGUCGACUUGGAGGUUGUGCCCUUGAGGCGUGGCUUCCGGAGCUAACGCGUUAAGUCGACCGCCUGGGGAGUACGGCCGCAAGGUUAAAACCCAAAUGAAUUGACGGGGGCCCGCACAAGCGGUGGAGCAUGUGGUUUAAUUCGAUGCAACGCGAAGAACCUUACCUACUCUUGACAUCCAGAGAAUUUGCUAGAGAUAGCUUAGUGCCUUCGGGAACUCUGAGACAGGUGCUGCAUGGCUGUCGUCAGCUCGUGUUGUGAAAUGUUGGGUUAAGUCCCGCAACGAGCGCAACCCUUAUCCUUUGUUGCCAGCACGUAAUGGUGGGAACUCAAAGGAGACUGCCGGUGAUAAACCGGAGGAAGGUGGGGAUGACGUCAAGUCAUCAUGGCCCUUACGAGUAGGGCUACACACGUGCUACAAUGGCAUAUACAAAGAGAAGCGAACUCGCGAGAGCAAGCGGACCUCAUAAAGUAUGUCGUAGUCCGGAUUGGAGUCUGCAACUCGACUCCAUGAAGUCGGAAUCGCUAGUAAUCGUAGAUCAGAAUGCUACGGUGAAUACGUUCCCGGGCCUUGUACACACCGCCCGUCACACCAUGGGAGUGGGUUGCAAAAGAAGUAGGUAGCUUAACCUUCGGGAGGGCGCUUACCACUUUGUGAUUCAUGACUGGGGUGAAGUCGUAACAAGGUAACC